RNAcentral lists this ribosomal RNA (449 nucleotides) under uncultured bacterium. RNAcentral's name for it is "partial 16S ribosomal RNA". It matches the Rfam family "Bacterial small subunit ribosomal RNA", at positions 354 to 796 of the family's 1533-position model. The record is from RNAcentral.
GUCGAGAAUCUUUCACAAUGGGGGCAACCCUGAUGGAGCGACGCCGCGUGGAGGAUAAGGUCUUCGGAUUGUAAACUCCUGUCAUGUGUGAACAAGGUUGCUUGGUUAAUACCUGGGCAAAUUGAUGGUAACGCAAGAGGAAGAGACGGCUAACUCUGUGCCAGCAGCCGCGGUAAUACAGAGGUCUCAAGCGUUGUUCGGAAUCACUGGGCGUAAAGAGUGCGUAGGUGGCGUGGUAAGUCAGAUGUGAAAGCCCGGGGCUCAACCUCGGAAAUGCAGUCGAUACUGCCAUGCUAGAGUACAGGAGAGGUGAGUAGAAUUCUCGGUGUAGCAGUGAAAUGCGUAGAUAUCGAGAGGAAUACCAAAGGCGUAGGCAGGUCACUGGACAGUUACUGACACUGAGGCACAAAGGCCAGGGGAGCGAACGGGAUUAGAAACCCUUGUAGUCC